ACAAAUCCGGUGCUUCAAGAAGUUACACAUGUGCACACACCCACGUACAUGCGAGUGCACACACACAUGCCCAGGCAUCUGUAGAAUUCACUGGCAAGGGCUUGGGUCUCCUUGUCAUCCAGCUCCUCGGAAUCUUGCCUCUUGUGAGGGCUUCUCUGGUUGCCUUCCUCUAUCGUGGUCCAGUGGCCAUGGGCUCUCAAAGAGGAAGGUGACAAACCCUUUUGGUUUCUGCUACUUUUUGUAAAGAUCUGACCACCAUUUGCUGUCUUGUGAGAGAGACAAGCUCCGUAGUUCCCAUGCUGUGGUUUCCAAGUGGAAUUUGGAAUUUGGACAAGUCAUAAUCACUGAAGAAUUUCUGAGGACCAUGGCAAGCAUCACCGAGAUAAGCCUUAAGCAAUUUCUAAGUAUUGGUAGAUUUCAGCUCAUUUAUCAUCACAGUCAGUAUUUGUAAAGCUGAUUUUCUUAUGAGAUCAAGGUACAGAACUUUCUAGAAUAAUGGGGAUGCUGUAUCUACACACAUAGGGAAAACCCUUGGAGCCAUCUUGAAAAUACCGUGUCCAUCAGCCUGGAACAGCACUGACUGGCCAGGGGACAGCAGAGGAAGCCUCCUGAUUCCAAGAAUUGCUAGGAGACAGAGAGAGAGAAAGAAAAUGCACCAACUAGUAAAUGCUCCAUAUUCCAAGUCUAUUAAUAAAAAUUAAGUACUUAGGGUAGAGUUAUGUUUCAAGUUGAACUAGACUAGGUCUCAAUGUCAAACCAUUGAAACAUCUCACAAGCCUUUGAAAGCAUUUGGAUCUAUCUGGCCAUAUACUCCCUGUGGCAAAAUAUGGGUCACAAAAACUAAGCAUCUUUCAUUUUAAAAAUAGAAAUAUACUGAUGCAUGAAUGUAUUGCUUAAAAUCUA
Molecule: non-coding RNA, 903 nt
Organism: Ictidomys tridecemlineatus (thirteen-lined ground squirrel)
Lineage: Eukaryota; Metazoa; Chordata; Mammalia; Rodentia; Sciuridae
Source: RefSeq, a predicted model, not a curated record